Molecule: ribosomal RNA, 489 nt
Filed under: Scopulariopsis sp. CMCG14
Lineage: Eukaryota; Fungi; Ascomycota; Sordariomycetes; Microascales; Microascaceae
Description: SSU rRNA
Rfam family: Eukaryotic small subunit ribosomal RNA
Source: RNAcentral
AAUAACUGGUCGAAUCGCAUGGCCUUGCGCCGGCGAUGGUUCAUUCAAAUUUCUUCCCUAUCAACUUUCGAUGCGAGGGUCUUGUCCUCGCAUGGUUGCAACGGGUAACGGAGGGUUAGGGCUCGACCCCGGAGAAGGAGCCUGAGAAACGGCUACUACAUCCAAGGAAGGCAGCAGGCGCGCAAAUUACCCAAUCCCGACACGGGGAGGUAGUGACAAUAAAUACUGAUACAGGGCUCUUUUGGGUCUUGUAAUCGGAAUGAGUACAAUUUAAAUCCCUUAACGAGGAACAAUUGGAGGGCAAGUCUGGUGCCAGCAGCCGCGGUAAUUCCAGCUCCAAUAGCGUAUAUUAAAGUUGUUGUGGUUAAAAAGCUCGUAGUCGAACCUUGGGCCUGGCUGGCCGGUCCCCCUCACCGGGUGCACUGAUCCAGCCGGGCCUUUCCCUCUGUGGAACCCCAUGGCCUUCACUGGCUGUGCGGGGAAACCAGG